UGCGGGGAAGUGUAACGGUUGCAUGGGGGGCUCAUAACCCCCAGGUAGUGGGUUCAAUUCCCACCCCCGCUA
RNAcentral lists this transfer RNA (72 nucleotides) under bacterium. RNAcentral describes it as "tRNA-Met". It matches the Rfam family "tRNA". Rfam says of the family: Transfer RNA (tRNA) molecules are approximately 80 nucleotides in length. The record is from RNAcentral.